AUGAAAUGCUAUUUUGGCAGAGGAAUAUGUGUUAGAUUUAGGAUCUAAUUAGAUAGAUUAGUCUAUAAAUAGUA
Molecule: transfer RNA, 74 nt
Filed under: Orithyia sinica
Lineage: Eukaryota; Metazoa; Arthropoda; Malacostraca; Decapoda; Orithyiidae
Description: tRNA-Leu
Source: RNAcentral